RNAcentral lists this ribosomal RNA (253 nucleotides) under uncultured bacterium. RNAcentral's name for it is "partial 16S ribosomal RNA". It matches the Rfam family "Bacterial small subunit ribosomal RNA", at positions 524 to 776 of the family's 1533-position model. The record is from RNAcentral.
UACGUAGGCGGCAAGCGUUGUCCGGAGUUAUUGGGCGUAAAGCGCGCGCAGGCGGUGCGGUAAGUCCAUGGUGAAAGCGCCCGGCUUAACUGGGCGAGCGCCGUGGGGACUGCCACGCUGGAGGGAAGCAGAGGCGAGUGGAAUUCCGGGUGUAGUGGUGAAAUGCGUAGAGAUCCGGAGGAACACCAGUGGCGAAGGCGGCUCGCUGGGCUUUACCUGACGCUGAGGCGCGAAAGCGUGGGGAGCGAACCGG